RNAcentral lists this ribosomal RNA (497 nucleotides) under uncultured bacterium. Its description in RNAcentral is "partial 16S ribosomal RNA". It matches the Rfam family "Bacterial small subunit ribosomal RNA", at positions 28 to 507 of the family's 1533-position model. The record is from RNAcentral.
GAUGAACGCUGGCGGCGUGCCUAAUACAUGCAAGUCGAGCGAACAGAUGAGGAGCUUGCUCCUCUGACGUUAGCGGCGGACGGGUGAGUAACACGUGGAUAACCUACCUAUAAGACUGGGAUAACUUCGGGAAACCGGAGCUUAUACCGGAUAAUAUACUGAACCGCAUGGUUCAAUAGUGAAAGACGGCUUUGCUGUCUCUUAUAGAUGGAUAUGCGCCGCAUUAGCUAGUUGGUAAGGUAACGGCUUACCAAGGCAACGAUGCGUAGCCGACGGAAGAGGGUGAUAGGCGACCCUGGAACGGGAACGCGGUCCAGGGGCCUGCGGGAGGCAGCAGUAGGGAAUCGUACGCAAUAGGCGGAAGCCUUGCGGAGCAAGGCGGCGUGAGUGAUGAAGGUCUUCGGAUCGUAAAACUCUGUUAUUAGGGGAGAACAAAUGUGUAAGUAACUAUACACGUCUUGACGGUACCUGAUCAGAAAGCCACGGCUAACUACGUG